This 253-nucleotide ribosomal RNA is filed under the name uncultured bacterium. Its description in RNAcentral is "partial 16S ribosomal RNA". It matches the Rfam family "Bacterial small subunit ribosomal RNA", at positions 524 to 776 of the family's 1533-position model. The record is from RNAcentral.
UACGUAGGUGGCAAGCGUUGUCCGGAUUUACUGGGCGUAAAGAGCGCGCAGGCGGUCGUUCAAGUCGCGUGUGAAAGCCCCCGGCUCAACUGGGGAGGGUCACGCGAUACUGAUCGACUCGAAGGCAGGAGAGGGAAGUGGAAUUCCCGGUGUAGUGGUGAAAUGCGUAGAUAUCGGGAGGAACACCAGUGGCGAAGGCGACUGCCUGGCCUGUUCUUGACGCUGAGGCGCGAAAGCUAGGGGAGCAAACGGG